GGGUGGCGACGCGGGCCGGACCCAGCCGGGGCGGCAGGGCAGGCGCCGCCCGAGGCGUAGGGCACGCGCGGGGACGCGCCGAGCCAGGGAGGCGCGCUCCGGCCGCACUCGCUCCGCGCUCCCUUCGCUCGCUCACUCCCUCCUCCCUCGGCAGCCGCGGCGGCAGCAGUAGAAGGCGGCGGCGGUGGCGGCGGCUGGGGAUCAGACAUGGCGGCGGAUCUGAACCUGGAGUGGAUCUGCUCCCUGCCUCGGUCCUGGACUUACGGGAUCACCAGGGGUGGUCGAGUCUUCUUCAUCAACGAGGAGGCGAAGAGCACCACCUGGCUGCACCCCGUCACCGGUGAGGCCGUGGUUACCGGACACCGGCGGCAGAGUACAGAUUUGCCUACUGGCUGGGAGGAAGCAUAUACUUUUGAAGGUGCAAGAUACUAUAUAAACCAUAAUGAAAGAAAAGUGACCUGCAAACAUCCAGUCACAGGACAGCCAUCACAGGACAAUUGUAUUUUUGUAGUUAAUGAACAGACCAUUGCAACGAUGACAUCUGACGAAAAAAAGGAACGACCUAUAAGUAUGAUAAAUGAAGCUUCUAACUAUAACAUGACUUCAGAUUAUGCAGUGCAUCCAGUGAGCCCUGUAGGCAGAACUUCACGAUCUUCAAAAAAAGUUCAUAAUUUUGGGAAAAGGUCAAACUCAAUUAAAAGGAAUCCUAAUGCACCAGUGGUCAGACGAGGUUGGCUUUACAAACAGGACAGUACUGGCAUGAAGCUGUGGAAGAAACGCUGGUUUGUGCUUUCUGACCUUUGCCUCUUUUAUUAUAGAGAUGAGAAGGAAGAGGGUAUCCUGGGAAGUAUACUGUUGCCUAGUUUUCAGAUAGCAGUGCUUACCUCUGAGGAUCACAUUAAUCGCAAAUAUGCUUUUAAGGCAGCCCAUCCAAACAUGCGGACCUAUUAUUUCUGCACUGAUACAGGAAAAGAAAUGGAAUUGUGGAUGAAAGCCAUGUUAGAUGCUGCUCUGGUACAGACAGAGCCUGUGAAAAGAGUGGACAGGAUUACAUCUGAAAAUGCACCAACUAAAGAAAUCAAUAACAUUCCCAACCAUAGAAUGCUGAUUAAACCCGAAGUCCAAAACAACCAGAAAAACAAGGAAAUGAGCAAAAUUGAAGAAAAAAAGGCAUUAGAAGCUGAAAAAUAUGGAUUUCAGAAGGAUGGUCCAGACAAACCUUUAACAAAAAUUAAUAGUGUAAAAUUGAAUUCUCUGCCAUCUGAGUAUGAAAGCAGUUCAACAUGCCCAGCCCAGACUGCAUACUACAGACCAGGCAAUGUGAAUACUUCAGAGAGCAAAACAGUCAAUGUUAGCCUGGCAGAUCUCAGAGGUGGAGUUCACCCAAACACGGGGCCCUUGCACACGGAGGCUGAUCGAGUCAUACAGAGAACCAAUUCAAUGCAGCAGUUGGAACAGUGGAUUAAAAUCCAGAAGGGGAGGGGUCAUGAAGAAGAAACCAGGGGAGUAAUUUCUUACCAAACUUUACCAAGAAAUAUGCCAAGCCACAGAGCUCAGAUUGUGGCCCGCUACCCUGAAGGUUAUAGAACGCUCCCAAGAAACAGCAAGACCAGGCCUGAAAGUAUCUGCAGUGUGACCCCUUCCAGUCACGACAAGACAGUAGGACCUGGAGCAGAAGAGAAACGGAGGUCAAUGAGAGAUGACACGAUGUGGCAGCUCUAUGAGUGGCAGCAGCGUCAGUUUUAUAAUAAGCAGAGCACUCUCCCGCGGCAUGGUACUUUGAGUAGUCCUAAAACCAUGGUUAAUAUUUCUGACCAGACAAUGCACUCUAUUCCCACAUCGCCUUCCCACGGUUCAAUAGCUGCUUACCAGGGAUACUCCCCUCAGCGAACCUAUAGAUCCGAAGUGUCUUCACCAAUUCAGAGAGGAGAUGUGACAACAGACCGCAGACACAGGGCCCAUCACCCUAAGCAUGUCUAUGUGCCUGACAGAAGAUCAAUGCCAGCAGGCCUAAGUUUACAGUCUGUUAAUCCACAGAGCCUCCAAGGCAAAACGCCAGAGGAGCUUACGCUGCUGCUAAUAAAGCUGAGACGGCAGCAAGCUGAACUGAGUAGUAUCCGGGAACAUACGCUAGCACAGCUCAUGCAGCUGAAACUUGAGGCCCACAGCCCAAAGAACGAAAUUCUUUCUCAUCGUCUUCAAAGGAACACCAUAUAUUUGGAUCAUCAGAUGAAAGAAAAUGAACCUAUUAUCACCAUGGUUCACACAAUGAUUGAGAACUCGGCGCUAAGACCCCAACUGUACCAGCAAUUCUUAAGACAGAAGAAGAAGAUAAGUCUAUACUGUCUGUCUCAAGAUGAAUGUAGAGGUACAUUAUAUAAAUACAGACCUGAAGAAGUGGAUAUUGAUGCCAAGUUAAGCCGAUUAUGUGAACAAGAUAAAGUGGUCCAUGCUCUGGAACAGAAACUUCAGCAGCUCCACAAGGAGAAAUACACACUAGAGCAAGCUUUGCUCUCAGCCAGCCAAGAGAUAGAAAUGAAUGCAGAUAACCCAGCAGCCAUUCAGACGGUGGUGUUACAGAGGGAUGAUUUGCAGAAUGGAUUGCUCAGUACAUGCCGAGAACUGUCUCGAGCCACUGCUGAACUGGAACGAGCAUGGAGAGAAUAUGAUAAAUUAGAAUAUGAUGUAACAGUUACCAGGAGUCAGAUGCAGGAGCAGCUAGAUCUACUUGGUGAAGUUCAGACUGAAUCAGCAGGAAUUCAGCGUGCACAGAUUCAGAAAGAACUUUGGAGAAUUCAGGAUGUCAUGGAAGGGCUGAGUAAACAUAAACAGCAAAGAGGUACAACAGAAACAGGUAUGGCAGGAUCAAAGCCUUUCUCAGCAGUUAAGUACAAAAAUGAGGAAGAGGAAGUAGUCCCACCUCGUCCUCCACUUCCUCGGUCCUAUGACUAUACAGAGCAGCCUCCCAUAAUCCCCCCUCUGCCCAGUGAUAGCAGCUCCUUGCUCUGUUAUAGCAGGGGCCCUGUGCAUCUACCUGAAGAAAAGAAGAUUCACCAAGUUCAAGGAUAUCCAAGAAAUGGAUCUCACUGUGGUCCAGAUUAUAGACUCUACAAGAGUGAACCAGAGUUAACAACAGUUGCAGAAGUUGAUGAAUCUAAUGGAGAAGAAAAAUCAGAACCUAUUUCAGAGAUGGAAACUUCGGUUGUUAAAGGUUCCCACUUUCCUGUUGGUGUAGUCCCUCCAAGAACAAAAUCACCAACACCUGAAUCUUCGACAAUAGCCUCAUAUGUAACCUUAAGGAAGACUAAGAAGAUGUUGGAUCCAAGAAUGGAAAGACCAAGAAGUGCAGUGGAACAGCUCUGUUUGGCUGAAAAUACUCGACCUAGAAUGACUGUGGAAGAGCAGAUGGAAAGAAUAAGGAGACACCAACAAGCAUGCCUAAGGGAAAAGAAAAAAGGAUUAAAUGUUAUUGGUGCUUCAGAUCAGUCACCCUUACAAAGUCCUUUGAGUUUAAGGGAUAAUACGUUCAGGCUUACCCAGAAUCGAAAGAGAGAUGAUUUGUUAUCAAGUAACAUUACAGAACUGGACACUGUCAUCAGAGAAAAUGAUGUAAAGCCAAACCAUGAAACUCCUGCAGCAGAAAUUGUCCAACUAAAAGAAGCUGAAUUUCAAAAUACAGAUCUCAACAAAGAGUUUAAAACAACUGAAAAUGUUUUUACUGAAACCCUUUUCAAACCUGAGCCAAAUGGAAUAAAUUCUGAGGAAGUGAUAGAUAAAGAAGAAAACAAGGAAAAAAUGCCUGAAGAUGUACCAUUCAGCCCUCAAGAUGGGACACGGAUCUCAAAUCAUAAACCAGAAGGCCACCCUGAAGAAAUCACAAAGGACAGUAUUCAUGAACAGGAAGAAACUGAAAUUUCUUACGAACUAACUCCUGAGGCUUCCAGAGGAAAUCAAACAAUGGCAGGAAGGAGACACGUGGAAAAGGGAAGAAAAGGCAGCAGUGGCCUAAGCAUCUAGAUCCCCACAGAAUCUACUCUGGUUUGGGUAUCAGUCCUUUCACAUCACCAACUCAUGCUGUUUAUUUAUUUAUUUUUUAUCUUAAUAUAUACUGUAAAGUUUUUCUAAGAAGUCUUUCUACUUUGUGAACUGUGGAGGAUUUAAUUUCUAAAGUAAUUUCUUUUACUCUUACCCCUACUGUAAUCCACAUUUGUGUUUUUCUUUAACUUUAGAAAAUCAUGAUAUGUAGAAUGUAAAAAAUGAAUUGUUCUAUGCUAUUCUUUGAAAUUUUGGGGGAUUUUUCUAAAUCAUUUUUCCUUUUCUUUUUUUUAUUCCUUUUAUGAUCUUUUUUGAGGGGGGUUGUUCAUACCACCAAUGCAUAUGUCCAGCUUUGCUUCCUCUAAUAAGCAAAAAAACUUCCCUAGUAACACACACACCUUCUGCAAAAGAGCAAACACGGUGAAAUUCAAUUAUAGGACAUUUCUUCUUGGGAUAAGCAUGAAGCUGCUAGACAGAGCAUUUACUCUAUCUUAUGUACAUAUAAUAGCAAAUUUAUGUAAUCAAUCAUAUUGUCUUGUGACAAAUAUUAAGGACUGUCUUUUCCUUUGCCUCUAACAUUUAUAAGGCAGAGUGCAUGGAAGUUCUUACUUUUUUUUCUAAUUGUCAUUAGCCCCUUUGAGUUAUUGUUUAGAGCAAGUCUGGAUCAAGCAGUGUGGUCCAAUUAAAUAACAAUAUUUAACUCCUCUAUAGUCUGUAGUUACAUGGGACUGCAAAGGUUCUUUUAAAGGUAAGACAGAAUGGGACACCUGAUAGACACCUUGAAAUUAAAACUCUUAAGACAAAAAAAAGAGUAGAGUAGAAUUUUUUAAACAGUUUUGAAGAGACAUUCCCUACUGAGUAAUCAGUUGCCGGAUUAGAAAAUAACACCUGAACCCAAGUACAGCUAUUAAUUCCUUCCCAAAAUACGUGCUUGUUGUUGUGGAGUCAUAACAUCAGGAUUUCCUUCUCCAAAUGUAUCUUAAAAGGUUUCUGUCUUCUCACAUUUUCUUGAUGUGUUGUAGUGAAAAGUCUGUCCCAGUCUCCUGAGUCCUCAGCAUCACCAGUUCCUUCCACUCAGCCGCAGCUCCCAGAAGGAUCACAUUUCAUGUGUGUGUAGUCUCAGAAGAACUAUACUGACUUCUGUUGAAACCAUUCACAGCUAAGGACAUGGA
Molecule: RNA transcript, 5207 nt
Organism: Choloepus didactylus (southern two-toed sloth)
Lineage: Eukaryota; Metazoa; Chordata; Mammalia; Pilosa; Megalonychidae
Gene: PLEKHA5
Gene name: pleckstrin homology domain containing A5
Exons: 31
Source: RefSeq, a predicted model, not a curated record